This 435-nucleotide ribosomal RNA is filed under the name uncultured bacterium. RNAcentral describes it as "partial 16S ribosomal RNA". It matches the Rfam family "Bacterial small subunit ribosomal RNA", at positions 30 to 507 of the family's 1533-position model. The record is from RNAcentral.
AGCGAACGCUGGCGGCAGGCUUAACACAUGCAAGUCGAGCGGGAGCACACGGGUGUCAGCGGCGGACGGGUGAGUAACGCGGGGGGACGUGGGAUUUGAUUGGGAUUUACUUAGGGAAACUUGAGAAAAUAGGGGAAACGACGCUUAGGGGGAAUGCUUGCUGCGGGAGGAUGCGGGCGAGUUUGAUACGAUGGGUGGUGGGGUGAGGGCGCACCAAGGUGACGAUCAGUAGCUGGUCUGGGAGAAUGAUCAGACACACUGGGACUGAGACGCGGCGCAGACUACUACGCGAGGCAGCAGAGGCGAAUCUUGGACAAUCGGCGCAAGCCUGAUCCAGCCAUGCCUGGUGAGUGAUUAAGUCGUUAGAGUUGUAAAGCUCUUUUAUCCCGGACGAUACUGACGGUACCGGAGGAAUAAGCCCCGGCUAACUUCGUG